ACACGGCCCAGACUCCUACGGGAGGCAGCAGUGGGGAAUAUUGCACAAUGGGCGAAAGCCUGAUGCAGCGACGCCGCGUGAGGGAUGACGGCCUUCGGGUUGUAAACCUCUUUCAGCAGGGAAGAAGCGCAAGUGACGGUACCUGCAGAAGAAGCGCCGGCUAACUACGUGCCAGCAGCCGCGGUAAUACGUAGGGCGCAAGCGUUGUCCGGAAUUAUUGGGCGUAAAGAGCUCGUAGGCGGCUUGUCGCGUCGGAUGUGAAAGCCCGGGGCUUAACCCCGGGUCUGCAUUCGAUACGGGCAGGCUAGAGUUCGGUAGGGGAGAUCGGAAUUCCUGGUGUAGCGGUGAAAUGCGCAGAUAUCAGGAGGAACACCGGUGGCGAAGGCGGAUCUCUGGGCCGAUACUGACGCUGAGGAGCGAAAGCGUGGGGAGCGAACAGGAUUAGAUACCCUGGUAGUCCACGCCGUAAACGUUGGGAACUAGGUGUG
Molecule: ribosomal RNA, 488 nt
Filed under: Streptomyces sp.
Lineage: Bacteria; Bacillati; Actinomycetota; Actinomycetes; Kitasatosporales; Streptomycetaceae
Description: bacterial SSU rRNA
Rfam family: Bacterial small subunit ribosomal RNA
Source: RNAcentral